RNAcentral lists this ribosomal RNA (253 nucleotides) under uncultured bacterium. RNAcentral describes it as "partial 16S ribosomal RNA". It matches the Rfam family "Bacterial small subunit ribosomal RNA", at positions 524 to 776 of the family's 1533-position model. The record is from RNAcentral.
UACGGAGGGAGCUAGCGUUGUUCGGAAUUACUGGGCGUAAAGCGCACGUAGGCGGCUUUGUAAGUUAGAGGUGAAAGCCCGGGGCUCAACCCCGGAAUUGCCUUUAAGACUGCAUCGCUUGAAUCCGGGAGAGGUGAGUGGAAUUCCGAGUGUAGAGGUGAAAUUCGUAGAUAUUCGGAAGAACACCAGUGGCGAAGGCGGCUCACUGGACCGAUAUUGACGCUGAGGUGCGAAAGCGUGGGGAGCAAACAGG